GCUCAGUUGGUUAAACGUCUGACUCUUGAUCUUAGCUCAGGUCAUGGUGUCAGGGUUGUGGGUUCAAGCCCCACAUUGGGCU
Molecule: transfer RNA, 82 nt
Filed under: Felis catus (domestic cat)
Lineage: Eukaryota; Metazoa; Chordata; Mammalia; Carnivora; Felidae
Also listed under: 5 other names
Rfam family: tRNA
About the family: Transfer RNA (tRNA) molecules are approximately 80 nucleotides in length. Their secondary structure includes four short double-helical elements and three loops (D, anti-codon, and T loops).
Source: Rfam by way of RNAcentral